Molecule: small nuclear RNA, 19 nt
Filed under: Arabidopsis thaliana (thale cress)
Lineage: Eukaryota; Viridiplantae; Streptophyta; Magnoliopsida; Brassicales; Brassicaceae
Description: snRNA_16689
Source: RNAcentral
AGCUCCAAGUGGGCCAUUU